UACGAAGGGGGCUAGCGUUGCUCGGAAUCACUGGGCGUAAAGGGCGCGUAGGCGGCCUGAUAAGUAGGGGGUGAAAUCCUGCGGCUUAACCGCAGGGCUGCCUUCUAAACUGUCGGGCUUGAGCACAGUAGAGGCAGGUGGAAUUCCCGGUGUAGCGGUGGAAUGCGUAGAGAUCGGGAAGAACAUCAGUGGCGAAGGCGGCCUGCUGGGCUGUUGCUGACGCUGAGGCGCGACAGCGUGGGGAGCAAACAGG
Molecule: ribosomal RNA, 253 nt
Filed under: uncultured bacterium
Lineage: Bacteria
Description: partial 16S ribosomal RNA
Rfam family: Bacterial small subunit ribosomal RNA
Source: RNAcentral